UGUAAAGCGUAUUCCUAGUUGGAGUUGGUUGUGCGACAGUUGUCUGCGACAGGUGUCGCACGGUUUUUGAGGUCGGUUGCCGUUGAUAUUGAUAGUUGCCGCCCGCGGUUGCUGUUAGUUUGCCAUGAACCCAUUGCGUGGUGGUGUUGGACCGAUUAAAAGGCAGAAAGGUGCUGCCUCCGACGCCAAGAAGCCCCCAUCACGUCGACGCGUGGUGUGUGGGAUUGACGGGUGUGCGUACAAUGGCGAGUACAGGCUGCAUGCAAGGCACAGGCAGCUGGUGCAUUCUGGAAAAAGAGCGGAAUAUGCCAACAGCUCCUUUGGUGUGGGAGGACGAUUCAGGAGCUGGGUCCAGAAACCAUCUGAGGAUCAAUAUGUCCAUCUUCGGCAGGAAAGCCCAGGUGCUGCCUUGAGAAGUGAGGAGAGUUCACCCCCAGAGGAGACUCCUCAGUCCUGCUCACCAGGCCAAGCAGCUUCCAGCCCAACUCAGUGUGCAACUGAACCCCAAGUGAGUUCAGACAACGUCUGUCAUCGCUCGGAGGAUGUGAUUGGGGAAACAACGGACAACACCGAGUCGGCAACUUGUGGUGGCUGCUGCUCAGUCUGUGGUGUGUCCUGUAAGGCCCAAACUUUCAUGUCGGACGCUCAAAAAGUGCUUCAUGUUUUGGAAGAAAAGUGCCGUGAAUUGGCAAGUGACGCCUUCGUGAGUGAGGCUCGAAAACUAGUCGCAAAACUGGACCAGAAAUGCACGGAACUUCCAGACAAGCUCCCGGCAGUUGCCACUGAGGAUGUAGGUGAGGGAGAGCACAUCAGUGUUCUGUUCCGGUCCGGUCGCAGUAUAUCCACUCUCCAGACGGCGUCAGGUGGCGAACUAAUGGUAGACGAGGAGAAGGGAUAUCUCUAUUGCUCAGUCUGUGUGCCUCAGCCGAAAGACGAACAGAGAAGCAGACCUGGCUUGUUUGCCUACGACUUUUCACUUGGCUCAGUGUUCGCCAACUGUUCCGUGCUGCCACCACGGUUUAAGAGCCUGCGGGACACAGUUGCAAAACAUUUUAGAUCGGAAGGCCAUAAGGCCAUGAAAAAGUCGCGCUGUGAGUCGAACGAGCGCGAAAACGCCCUGCAUGAUGCAAACAAGACGGCGGCAGCGAGGGUUCUUCGAACAGCAUACCUCGUUCUGAAGAAGUCGCUCAGCCAGCUUCUUUUCGAGGAACUCAUUGUCCUCCAGCAUUUGAAUGACGCCUUCAUGGGAAACAUAAAUCACUCGCGCAUGAUGAUGGACACCGCCAGGACGGCGGUCUGCCAGACAUUGCUAUCAAAUCUAAAAGAACACGUAGAAUCUCAACCGUGUGUUGCAGUACUGGCGGACAAAGUCACCAUCGCCCGUCGAACAGUUGACAUAACCGCAAUACAGACCCUUGUGCCGAACGCAGAGCCCGACCACAUCUUCCAGACCUUCGUGGUCGGCGCUCCUGUCGUGAAAAAUCAUGACGGCGAGGCGCUCGCAGCCGACAUCUGCAGCACGCUGUCUGAGGUAGGCGUCACCAACACGGAGAAGAUUGCUGCUGUGGCGGCCGACGGCCAGUUCCACCACAAUGGUGUGCCACAAAAGCUGGCACGACUACUGGAAUCGUCGAGCGGCUGUCCCAUUCCGGCCGUAUGGGACCAGGCGCACCUGAUGAACCUGGCUGAGUCCGAUGCUCGCAAGCACUGUAACAGUAGAUGGGUGAGAGACACCAUUGAAACAGUAACAGAGGUGAACAAGAUGUUCUCCAUCGGCAAGGGAUGGGAGGACCUCAGGCGAUGUGGCGAGGAUAUGGGAGAGCCGGUACUGCGACCAAAGCUGUGGUCUGAAACACGCUUCGCAGCGUACGCUGCGGAGGUGUUUUCCGUCUUCAGACGGAAUGAGAAGCAGCUGCGAGCGGCACUGCGCAGGAAGAGGAUGGAGGAAACGCGACCGUCGCAUCUGAAAGAGCUGGAGAGGCUGCUUGUCUCGCUAAACGGUAAGUACUUCAACCAGGCUCGAUGGAGACAGCUGUGAAGCAGCUGUCGCCCCAAAGUAACCAUUGGGUUAUGUGGUUCUGGUCCUUCUCGCAUGUCUCUCUCAUUUUGUGUUAUUAAUUUUGUCGUUCAAGUGUUGUGCUGUCCGGAUAAGUUGUCACGCAAUAUCAAUUACCAUUCAAGCCUUUCCUUGUUGACCGAGCGCCUUUCACUAACUCAUUGUACUUUGACACCUUUUUAAUUUUUGGAGACGACGAUGAGACAUUAUUCACGAAACCUCAUUUAAAUAUGGCAUCGGAAUGUAGGAAUUACUUUCUAGCUUUUCACUACUUUAAUUAUUGCUGUUAAUGUUGCCGUAGCCAAGAAAUGUGCCACAUAAUUGCGAACAGAACAAGACAUUAUUGCCAAGUUUUAAAUGACAUUAUUUCUUGUUUAUGACCAAUGAUGGUAAAAGCACAACGUAUCUGCUCACAGAUCCAGCGUUUCAUGCCCGCGUGAGGGCGCUGGAGGACAUAUAUGGUGUACUGGGAGCAGCCAGCAAAGCCGUCCAGAGAACGCAGUCCCUGCCGUGGGAGCGUCAUGCUGACCAGCAGGAGGCCGUGGAGACGAUCCGCCGCAUGAAGGUAGCGCUGGUGACACAGCACAAGAAAUCGCCUACCACAGAAGACCUCCUGUGUUUGGCUGAUAAAGACGAGCUGUGGCCUCGCUUAUCAGCGAGCGAGCCAUCAGUUCCAGCAGCGGAGGUCGCCAAGAUCGCCUUCUUCUGCACCAGCAUAAUGGAGCGACUGAAGUUCCGAGGGGCUGGUCAAGAUGUCAGCGGCUCUGACAAGAACACGGCCAAUAAUGUUCUGGGUCAGAGCAUGGCUGAUCUGCGCGCCGUCGCUGACCUGCACCAGCUGGCCGGAUCGACCGUGCCAGUGCCAGUGGCAGCUCGCCUCUACCGAGAGGCAGGGGAGAGGCUGGUCAGAAGAAAGCUGAUCCCAGUGGACACGGUACCGACUGAAGGUGAGAUUCGCUCCGUGCUGCCGCUAUUGCGUCGCCAUCGUGAAGAAACCAACCAGCAGCUAUGGAAGAUGCUGAACCGGCACGCUGAUGACCACUCUGCAAGGGCCCUCACCAACCUGGUCACCCGUAUCUGGCUCCUGUCCCCACCAGAAAGUGUUGUGGAGUCGAUGGGCAGUGUCAUCGCUGAGGUUUUUGGGGAACAUCGGCAGCUGGAACACGGCAACGCUGCGAAAGAACUAAUUGUGAGGUGGAACGGCCCAUCGCUGUGUCGGGCCGACCGCCUCCUCUCGCGCGUCCACCGUCACCUCUCUCGCGACGACAGCUUCCGGUGCGUUCGGAGGACGACCACCAUCGGUCAGUCCUUCCACGGAACAGUUAUUACCCGGCACAAACGGGCCCCUGACCACAGGGCGUGCCUUUGGACUUAGAUAUAGUAAUGCAACCAUGUUUGUAGAAUGCCUGUUAGAUUAUGUAUUGCUUUUAACCCUCGUCCGUAUAGGGGAAGGGGAUCGAACGCCCCACCCGCCUCGGUUUUUCGCGAUAACUCGGCCGAUCGGGACGAAACUUUCAGUACUCUCGAGUCAAUCAAUUUUACACCUACCCAGAAAAUUGCAUGACCCUGACCCAAAUGACCUUUGACCUGUGACCUCUUUCUCGAAACCAUGUUAGGCUGGAAUUGCGAUUCGGCGUGUGGCGGCUCGCAUUGGCCGUUUGUAGUCUUUUUGUGGCUUCAAGCGUUCAAACAUGUGAUAUGAUGUUGUUCCCAUGCAUUAUGGUGGGUGUCAAGGUCGCCUGAAGGUCAGGUCAGGUCAUUGACCUUUGAUGACCUCGGCUCACUUUUUAGUUUUUACCUGUGUCCAGGCUGGUUUUUGGAGCUGGUUUCGAAUUUAGCAUUUAGUGCAUUUGGCAUUUAGCGAAUUUAGUGCCUUUGUAACAUGUUACGAAGCUGUCAGUGGCGGUUGACACCUACUUUGAAUACCCAGCAGGACAUCUACUGGUUGACAUGACCUGACCUGACCCGGCCUGGCUUAAAUGCAUGAAGACAUCAUGCAUUUAUGUCCCGUAUUUGGAUUGUGAAGCCACUGUCUUUCAACGUGAUAUGUGACUGUGGGUGUGUGUGUGUGUUUGAAAUGACGAUGUGAAUGAUAGCAUUUGUCACAGACUUCUCUGUUUCCAUGGAGACAUAGAGAAGUCUGUGCAUUUGUAGAUAAUCUGUUGUGCUUCUGUUACUCCUCUCGUCAAAUUAAAAGAAGAAUACUUGCUGCUA
RNAcentral lists this unclassified non-coding RNA (4270 nucleotides) under Amphibalanus amphitrite. Its description in RNAcentral is "uncharacterized LOC122371027, transcript variant X2". The record is from RNAcentral. Lineage: Eukaryota; Metazoa; Arthropoda; Thecostraca; Balanomorpha; Balanidae.